UUCCGGUUGAUCCUGCCGGAGGUCACUGCUAUCGGGGUUCGAUUAAGCCAUGCGAGUCGAGAGGGUUCAGACCCUCGGUGGACUGCUCAGUAACACGUGGAUAAUCUGCCCUAUGGUGGAGGAUAACCCCGGGAAACUGGGGAUAAUACUCCAUAAGUCAGGAGUACUGGAAUGUCUCCUAACUGAAAGUUUCGGCGCCAUAGGAUGAAUCUGCGGCCGAUUAGGUAGUUGUUGGGGUAACGGCCCAACAAGCCCGUAAUCGGUACGGGUUGUGGGAGCAAGAGCCCGGAGAUGGAAUCUGAGACACGAUUCCAGGCCCUACGGGGCGCAGCAGGCGCGAAAACUUUACAAUGCAGGAAACUGUGAUAAGGGAACCCCGAGUGCCCGUACACGCGGGCUGUCCCGGUGUUUAAAACACAUCGGAAGAAAGGGCCGGGCAAGACCGGUGCCAGCCGCCGCGGUAAUACCGGCGGCUCGAGUGGUGACCACUUUUAUUGGGCUUAAAGCGUUCGUAGCUUGAUUUUUAAGUCUCUUGGGAAAUCUCACGGCUUAACUGUGAGGCGUCUAAGAGAUACUGGGAAUCUAGGGACCGGGAGAGGUAAGAGGUACUUCAGGGGUAGAAGUGAGAUUCUGUAAUCCUUGAGGGACCACCGAUGGCGAAGGCAUCUUACUAGAACGGCUUCGACAGUGAGGAACGAAAGCUGGGGGAGCGAACGGGAUUAGAUACCCGGGUAGUCCCAGCUGUAAACGAUGCAGACUCGGUGAUGAGUUGGCUUAUUGCUAACUCAGUGCCGCAGGGAAGCCGUUAAGUUUGCCGCCUGGGGAGUACGGUCGCAAGGCUGAAACUUAAAGGAAUUGGCGGGGGAGCACCACAACGGGUGGAGCCUGCGGUUUAAUUGGAUUCAACGCCGGG
Molecule: ribosomal RNA, 913 nt
Filed under: uncultured compost archaeon
Lineage: Archaea
Description: bacterial SSU rRNA
Rfam family: Archaeal small subunit ribosomal RNA
Source: RNAcentral